UCAGGACGAACGCUGGCGGCGUGCCUAAUACAUGCAAGUCGAACGAACUCUGGUAUUGAUUGGUGCUUGCAUCAUGAUUUACAUUUGAGUGAGUGGCGAACUGGUGAGUAACACGUGGGAAACCUGCCCAGAAGCGGGGGAUAACACCUGGAAACAGAUGCUAAUACCGCAUAACAACUUGGACCGCAUGGUCCGAGUUUGAAAGAUGGCUUCGGCUAUCACUUUUGGAUGGUCCCGCGGCGUAUUAGCUAGAUGGUGGGGUAACGGCUCACCAUGGCAAUGAUACGUAGCCGACCUGAGAGGGUAAUCGGCCACAUUGGGACUGAGACACGGCCCAAACUCCUACGGGAGGCAGCAGUAGGGAAUCUUCCACAAUGGACGAAAGUCUGAUGGAGCAACGCCGCGUGAGUGAAGAAGGGUUUCGGCUCGUAAAACUCUGUUGUUAAAGAAGAACAUAUCUGAGAGUAACUGUUCAGGUAUUGACGGUAUUUAACCAGAAAGCCACGGCUAACUACGUGCCAGCAGCCGCGGUAAUACGUAGGUGGCAAGCGUUGUCCGGAUUUAUUGGGCGUAAAGCGAGCGCGGGCGGUUUUUUAAGUCUGAUGUGAAAGCCUUCGGCUCAACCGAAGAAGUGCAUCGGAAACUGGGAAACUUGAGUGCAGAAGAGGACAGUGGAGCUCCAUGUGUAGCGGUGAAAUGCGUAGAUAUAUGGAAGAACACCAGUGGCGAAGGCGGCUGUCUGGUCUGUAACUGACGCUGAGGCUCGAAAGUAUGGGUAGCAAACAGGAUUAGAUACCCUGGUAGUCCAUACCGUAAACGAUGAAUGCUAAGUGUUGGAGGGUUUCCGCCCUUCAGUGCUGCAGCUAACGCAUUAAGCAUUCCGCCUGGGGAGUACGGCCGCAAGGCUGAAACUCAAAGGAAUUGACGGGGGCCCGCACAAGCGGUGGAGCAUGUGGUUUAAUUCGAAGCUACGCGAAGAACCUUACCAGGUCUUGACAUACUAUGCAAAUCUAAGAGAUUAGACGUUCCCUUCGGGGACAUGGAUACAGGUGGUGCAUGGUUGUCGUCAGCUCGUGUCGUGAGAUGUUGGGUUAAGUCCCGCAACGAGCGCAACCCUUAUUAUCAGUUGCCAGCAUUAAGUUGGGCACUCUGGUGAGACUGCCGGUGACAAACCGGAGGAAGGUGGGGAUGACGUCAAAUCAUCAUGCCCCUUAUGACCUGGGCUACACACGUGCUACAAUGGAUGGUACAACGAGUUGCGAACUCGCGAGAGUAAGCUAAUCUCUUAAAGCCAUUCUCAGUUCGGAUUGUAGGCUGCAACUCGCCUACAUGAAGUCGGAAUCGCUAGUAAUCGCGGAUCAGCAUGCCGCGGUGAAUACGUUCCCGGGCCUUGUACACACCGCCCGUCACACCAUGAGAGUUUGUAACACCCAAAGUCGGUGGGGUAACCUUUUAGGAACCAGCCGCCUAAGGUGGG
This 1477-nucleotide ribosomal RNA is filed under the name uncultured organism. Its description in RNAcentral is "16S ribosomal RNA". It matches the Rfam family "Bacterial small subunit ribosomal RNA". The record is from RNAcentral.